RNAcentral lists this ribosomal RNA (442 nucleotides) under uncultured bacterium. RNAcentral's name for it is "partial 16S ribosomal RNA". It matches the Rfam family "Bacterial small subunit ribosomal RNA", at positions 338 to 795 of the family's 1533-position model. The record is from RNAcentral.
CCUACGGGGGGCUGCAGUGGGGAAUAUUGGGCAAUGGAGGCAACUCUGACCCAGCAACGCCGCGUGAAUGAUGAAGGUCUUCGGAUUGUAAAGUUCUGUGAUGGGGGAUGAACACAAUGACGGUACCCCAAUAGCAAGCCACGGCUAACUACGUGCCAGCAGCCGCGGUAAUACGUAGGUGGCAAGCGUUAUCCGGAAUGACUGGGCGUAAAGGGUGCGUAGGCGGGCUUUUAAGUCAGCGGUAAAAAUUCGGGGCUCAACCCCGUCCGGCCGUUGAAACUGGGGGCCUUGAGUGGGCGAGAAGAAGGCGGAAUGCGUGGUGUAGCGGUGAAAUGCAUAGAUAUCACGCAGAACCCCGAUUGCGAAGGCAGCCUUCCGGCGCCCUACUGACGCUGAGGCACGAAAGUGCGGGGAUCGAACAGGAUUAGAUACCCGGGUAGUC